This 380-nucleotide ribosomal RNA is filed under the name uncultured eukaryote. RNAcentral's name for it is "partial 18S ribosomal RNA". It matches the Rfam family "Eukaryotic small subunit ribosomal RNA", at positions 592 to 976 of the family's 1831-position model. The record is from RNAcentral.
CAAUAGCGUAUAUUAAAGUUGUUGCAGUUAGAACGCUCGUAGUCGGAUUUCGGGGCGGGCCGACCGGUCUGCCGAUGGGUAUGCACUGGUCGGCGCGUCCUUCCUUCCGGAGACCGUCCCUACUCUUAACUGAGCGGGGGCGGGAGACGGGACUUUUACUUUGAAAAAAUCAGAGUGUUUCAAGCAGGCAGCUCGCUCUUGCAUGGAUUAGCAUGGGAUAAUGAAAUAGGACUUUGGUGCUAUUUUGUUGGUUUCGAACACCGAAGUAAUGAUUAAAAGGGACAGUCAGGGGCACUCGUAUUCCGCCGAGAGAGGUGAAAUUCUCAGACCAGCGGAAGACGAACCACUGCGAAAGCAUUUGCCAGGGAUGUUUUCACUGA